AAGGAAUUUAAAUGCACUUGGCCCACCAACAAAAGAUUCCAAUACAUGGAGGUCUGGAUUGACUGAAAAUGUUACAUGAAGCGAAAAUUAUCGUAUAACAAAAAA
This is a long non-coding RNA of Bactrocera tryoni, 105 nucleotides long. RefSeq lists it as uncharacterized. The record is from RefSeq and is a predicted model, not a curated record. The transcript has 2 exons. NCBI's taxonomy places the organism in Eukaryota, Metazoa, Arthropoda, Insecta, Diptera, Tephritidae.